This is a non-coding RNA of Pelobates cultripes (western spadefoot toad), 240 nucleotides long. Lineage: Eukaryota; Metazoa; Chordata; Amphibia; Anura; Pelobatidae. The record is from the annotation of a GenBank genome assembly.
CUUACCUUUCUCCAGCACCAGGCUCUCUCUGCGAUGGGGAACUCUCCUCCUCUUGCCAAAUCUAGGCAAAAAAUAAAGGGGGUUUUAAUUACAUUAUAUGAUCAUACAUUGCAUAAGCCUGCCACAAUGUUAAUGUAGCCCAUCUUUGGCAGGUCCUACUCUAACAGCCUAAUGUCUGUUCUUAUGAGCUACUUACUUGGGGACCACUGACGUUGUGACAGGGUUAUGCAAUGUAUGAUU